CCUACGGGAGACAGCAGUGAGGAAUAUUGGUCAAUGGACGAGAGUCUGAACCAGCCAAGUAGCGUGAAGGAUGACUGCCCUAUGGGUUGUAACCUUCUUUUAUAUGGGAGUAAAAUAUUCCACGUGUGGGAUAUUGUAUGUACCAUAUGAAUAAGGAUCGGCUAACUCCGUGCCAGCAGCCGCGGUAAUACGGAGGAUCCGAGCGUUAGCCGGAUUUAGUGGGUGUAAGGGGUGCGUAGGUGGAUUGUUAAGUCAGUUGUGAAAGUUUGCGGCUUAACCGUAAAAUUGCAGUUGAAACUGGCAGUCUUGAGUACAGGAGAGGUAGGUGGAAUUCGUGGUGUAGGGGUGAAAUGCUUAGAGAUCACGAAGAACUCUGAUUGCGAAGGCAGUUCACUGGA
This 398-nucleotide ribosomal RNA is filed under the name uncultured bacterium. RNAcentral describes it as "partial 16S ribosomal RNA". It matches the Rfam family "Bacterial small subunit ribosomal RNA", at positions 338 to 733 of the family's 1533-position model. The record is from RNAcentral.